GAACAUAUUUGCGGUCCGCCUGCCCUGGGGCCGCUUUCAGCUGUGGCUGCAACCAGCAAGACAGGAAAAAUAUUUCCGUAUUCUUGCUUUCCCGGCCACAAGAGGGCAGAGUGGCUGUGUGCCUCUGAGCAGACGAGAGCAGCCACUCCCCCUUCCCUCCAGCUCGCAGUGUCAGAGGAGUGUGUGACCUGCUUCAGCAGAGCUGAGUAGGAG
This is a non-coding RNA of Pelobates cultripes (western spadefoot toad), 213 nucleotides long. The record is from the annotation of a GenBank genome assembly. Lineage: Eukaryota; Metazoa; Chordata; Amphibia; Anura; Pelobatidae.